UCGGUGCUUGCACCGAGAUUCAACAUGGAACGAGUGGCGGACGGGUGAGUAACACGUGGGUAACCUGCCCUUAAGUGGGGGAUAACAUUUGGAAACAGAUGCUAAUACCGCAUAGAUCCAAGAACCGCAUGGUUCUUGGCUGAAAGAUGGCGUAAGCUAUCGCUUUUGGAUGGACCCGCGGCGUAUUAGCUAGUUGGUGAGGUAAUGGCUCACCAAGGCGAUGAUACGUAGCCGAACUGAGAGGUUGAUCGGCCACAUUGGGACUGAGACACGGCCCAAACUCCUACGGGAGGCAGCAGUAGGGAAUCUUCCACAAUGGACGCAAGUCUGAUGGAGCAACGCCGCGUGAGUGAAGAAGGCUUUCGGGUCGUAAAACUCUGUUGUUGGAGAAGAAUGGUCGGCAGAGUAACUGUUGUCGGCGUGACGGUAUCCAACCAGAAAGCCACGGCUAACUACGUGCCAGCAGCCGCGGUAAUACGUAGGUGGCAAGCGUUAUCCGG
RNAcentral lists this ribosomal RNA (500 nucleotides) under Lacticaseibacillus paracasei subsp. tolerans. RNAcentral describes it as "bacterial SSU rRNA". It matches the Rfam family "Bacterial small subunit ribosomal RNA", at positions 62 to 548 of the family's 1533-position model. The record is from RNAcentral. Lineage: Bacteria; Bacillati; Bacillota; Bacilli; Lactobacillales; Lactobacillaceae.